Molecule: unclassified non-coding RNA, 433 nt
Filed under: fungal sp.
Lineage: Eukaryota; Fungi
Description: partial internal transcribed spacer region
Rfam family: Eukaryotic small subunit ribosomal RNA (bases 1-46)
Source: RNAcentral
AAGUCGUAACAAGGUCUCCGUAGGUGAACCUGCGGAGGGAUCAUUAACACGUGCAUCUCAUAGUAUACAGCAAUGUUUGCUAUGAGAACGUUCUAAUACCAAACCAACCGUGUCAUUCGACUGCUUGCAGUCAUCCUCCCUAUGCGUUUCGUUAAAACCGGAAUUAUGUCACCAUAUAGUAUGGACUAUGUAUAUAUGUGAUGGUUGAUAGUAUACUUUAUGUAUGCUAUUUACAUAUAUGUAGUCGAGUACGAUGUGAUUCUUCGAAACAAGUAGGACAAUUUUUUCGCAUCACGAAAAAACACACACACCUAUAUCACCCUAACCUUAUAACUAUAGACUGAUACUGAUCGAUUUUUUUAAUUAAAGAUAGAUCAAUCUCGAUAUCAUCGAACUAAAAGCACAACUCUUAGCAACGGAUAUCUUGGUUCUC